This 392-nucleotide ribosomal RNA is filed under the name uncultured bacterium. RNAcentral describes it as "bacterial SSU rRNA". It matches the Rfam family "Bacterial small subunit ribosomal RNA", at positions 28 to 402 of the family's 1533-position model. The record is from RNAcentral.
GACGAACGCUGGCGGCGUGCUUAACACAUGCAAGUCGAACGAGAAUCUAUGGAUCGAGGAUUCGUCCAAGUGAAGUAGAGGACAGUGGCGGACGGGUGAGUAACGCGUGAGGAACCUGCCUUGGAGUGGGGAAUAACACAGUGAAAUUGUGCUAAUACCGCAUAAUGCAGUUGGGUCGCAUGACUCUGACUGCCAAAGAUUUAUCGCUCUGAGAUGGCCUCGCGUCUGAUUAGCUAGUUGGUGGGGUAACGGCCCACCAAGGCGGCGAUCAGUAGCCGGACUGAGAGGUUGGCCGGCCACAUUGGGGACUGAGACACGGCCCAGACUCCUACGGGAGGCAGCAGUGGGGAAUAUUGGGCAAUGGGCGCAAGCCUGACCCAGCAACGCCGCGU